This is a long non-coding RNA of Eriocheir sinensis (Chinese mitten crab), 1685 nucleotides long. RefSeq lists it as uncharacterized. NCBI's taxonomy places the organism in Eukaryota, Metazoa, Arthropoda, Malacostraca, Decapoda, Varunidae. The transcript is spliced from 4 exons. The record is from RefSeq and is a predicted model, not a curated record.
GGUUAAGGAAGGUGAGGGCACGUGCAGGGAUGGGAGGAGGCUGGCGGCAGGGCUGUUGGUUGGCUGGGGGGGUUGGGAAAGAAGAACGAGUAGUAAUAUUAUUAAGGGUUGAGGUCCAUAUUGUUAAACCUUUCGGGCUCCCAUUACGACUAUUUCCCGUUCAAGAUGGAAAAGUCAUGUAAAACUAUCACUAGCAUCACAAAACAAUCCAUAGAAAAUCCCAGCAUCUUAUACGAGAGGAAUUUCAAACAGGCGAACUGAGGUGCUGUUACGUUAAGGGAAUACGGGGUUGAGCUUUCAUAGAUUGGUGCGUGAGGUGGUUAGGUGUUGGAGUUACGAAAGAGCGAGUGGUUGAGGGUUGAGCUUUGGUAGAUAAGUGACGUGAGGUGGCUGGGUGCUGGGGAUAGGAAAGGACGAGUGGUUGAGGGUUGAGCUUUGGUAGAUAAGUGACGUGAGGUGGUUGGGUGCUGGGGAUAGGAAAGGACGAGUGGUUGAGGGUUGAGCUUUGGUAGAUAAGUGACGUGAGGUGGCUAUGUGCUGGGGUUAAGAAAGGACGAGUGGUUGAGGGCUGAGCUUUGGUAGAUAAGUGACGUGAGGUGGUUGGGUGCUGGGGAUAGGAAAGGACGAGUGGUUGAGGGUUGAGCUUUGGUAGAUUAGUGACGUGAGGUGGUUGGGUGCUGGGGAUAGGAAAGGACGAGUGGUUGAGGGUUGAGCUUUGGUAGAUAAGUGACGUGAGGUGGCUAGGCGAUGGGGUUAGGAAAGAACGUGUAGAAAGGAGAGAUUUCGAAGUUCGGUUAGGUGGAGGGAUGGAAGGGAGAAGGAAAGAAGAAUGGGUGGAAAGUGGGCCAGGUAAUAUAAGAUUAGGUUACGAAGAAGGGGAGGGUAGAAAUGGCUGAGGUAAGGAAAGUUUAGGUAAAGGGGAAGUUAGGUUAGGAUAGGUGAGGAAGACGAAAGCUAAGGUUAGGUAAGGCAAAGUUAGAUAAGGAUUAAGGAAAUGUGGAGUAUUGAUUGUGAGAUUGGGGUAGGUUAGGAAACGUUAUGAUAUGAGGUAAGGGUAGGUUAGGGUAGAGUACAUAGAGUCAGCAGAAUAGGAUGGAAGAAGGUCAACAGGUAUUUUUAAAGGUAAAGGUAAAGUUGGGGAAAGUUUAAGGAAAUGUGGAGUGUUGAUAGUGAGAUUGGGAUAGGUUAGGAAAAUUUAUGAUAUGAGGUGAGGUUAGGUUAGGGUAGAGAGUGUCAGAAUAGGGUGGAAGAAGGUCAACAGGUAUUUUUAAAGGUAAAGGUAAAGAAGGGAAAGGUUUAAGGAAAUUUAGAGUGUUGGUGAGAUUUGGAUAGGUAAGGAAAAAGUAAUGAUAUGAGAUAAGGGUAGGUUAUUUUUUAUUUAUUUAUUUAUUUAUUUUUACAACAAAGGAGACGGCUCAAGGGGCAACAAACAGAGUGUAGAAAAAAAAAGCCCGCUACUCACCGCUCCCACAACAGACCAAAAUAAAGAGCGGCCUAAAGAGAGGUCAAUUUCGGGUGGAGAGGUGUCUUGGUUAGAGGUCAGAGUACAUGUAGAGUAAGAAUAGAGUGGAUGAGGGUUAACGGGUUUUUAAAAGGUAAAGUUGGGAGCAUACACUAUUAGCUGCGCGUGGCGGCGGUGCUCAUCUCCGUACCAAAAGCCCUUGAAGCUGGGGUGGGUGAGGAGA